GUGGUUAAGUGAAUAAGGGCGUACGGUGAAUGCCUUGGCACUAGGAGCCGAUGAAGGACGGGACGAACACCGAUAUGCUUCGGGGAGCUGUAAGUAAGCUUUGAUCCGGAGAUUUCCGAAUGGGGGAACCUCAUUGUUUUUAUCGACAAUGGUCCACGCAGUGAACACAUAGCUGAGUGGAAGGUAGACGUGGUGAACUGAAACAUCUCAGUAGCCACAGGAAGAGAAAGAAAAAUCGAUUUCCCGAGUAGCGGCGAGCGAAACGGAAAGAGGCCAAACCAGCGUGCUUGCAUGCUGGGGUUGUAGGACUGAUGGACGGGAGUGAAUGAGCUAGUCGAACGCCAUGGAAAGGGCGAUCAGAGAGGGUGACAAUCCCGUAGGCGAAAGCUCAGCCACCUCAUUCAGUAUCCUGAGUACGGCGGUACACGUGAAAUUCCGUCGGAAUCCGCCAGGACCAUCUGGCAAGCCUAAAUACUCCCUAGUGACCGAUAGUGAACCAGUACCGUGAGGGAAAGGUGAAAAGCACCCCGGAAGGGGAGUGAAAGAGUACCUGAAACCGUAUGCCUACAAGCAGUCAGAGCCCGUUAAGGGGUGAUGGCGUACUUUUUGUAGAACGGACCGGCGAGUGACGAUAGCAAGCAAGGUUAAGCUGAAGAAGCGGAGCCACAGCGAAAGCGAGUCUGAAGAGGGCGUUGAGUUUGUUGU
Molecule: ribosomal RNA, 705 nt
Filed under: Aerococcus urinae
Lineage: Bacteria; Bacillati; Bacillota; Bacilli; Lactobacillales; Aerococcaceae
Description: bacterial LSU rRNA
Rfam family: Bacterial large subunit ribosomal RNA
Source: RNAcentral